UGAUACUAAGCCAUGCGAGUCAUUGUAGCAAUACAAGGCAUACGGCUCAGUAACGCGUAGUCAACCUAACCUAUGGACGGGAAUAACCUCGGGAAACUGAGAAUAAUGCCCGAUAGAACAUUAUGCCUGGAAUGGUUUAUGUUCCAAAUGAUUUAUUGCCGUAGGAUGGGACUGCGGCCUAUCAGUUUGUUGGUGAGGUAAUGGCCCACCAAGACUAUUACAGGUACGGGCUCUGAGAGGAGUAGCCCGGAGAUGGGUACUGAGACACGGACCCAGGCCCUAUGGGGCGCAGCAGGCGAGAAAACUUUGCAAUGUGCGAAAGCACGACAAGGUUAAUCCGAGUGGUUUCUGCUAAAGGAACCUUUUGUCAGUCCUAGAAACACUGAUGAAUAAGGGGUGGGCAAGUUCUGGUGUCAGCCGCCGCGGUAAAACCAGCACCUCAAGUGGUCAGGAUGAUUAUUGGGCCUAAAGCAUCCGUAGCCGGCUCUGUAAGUUUUCGGUUAAAUCUGUACGCUCAACGUACAGGCUGCCGGGAAUACUGCAAAGCUAGGGAGUGGGAGAGGUAGACGGUACUCGGUAGGAAGGGGUAAAAUCCUCUGAUCUAUUGAUGACCACCUGUGGCGAAGGCGGUCUACCAGAACACGUCCGACGGUGAGGGAUGAAAGCUGGGGGAGCAAACCGGAUUAGAUACCCGGGUAGUCCCAGCUGUAAACCAUGCAAACUCAGUGAUGCAUUGGCUUGUGGCCAAUGCAGUGCUGCAGGGAAGCCGUUAAGUUUGCCGCCUGGGAAGUACGUACGCAAGUAUGAAACUUAAAGGAAUUGGCGGGGGAGCACCACAAGGGGUGAAGCCUGCGGUUCAAUUGG
RNAcentral lists this ribosomal RNA (864 nucleotides) under uncultured archaeon. Its description in RNAcentral is "bacterial SSU rRNA". It matches the Rfam family "Archaeal small subunit ribosomal RNA", at positions 39 to 909 of the family's 1478-position model. The record is from RNAcentral.